CUCCUGCCACCAACUUGUCUGUAAUCAACUGGCAUUGCGACAACAUUACUGUGGCAUGGCAAGCUCCGAUUAAUAAUAUCUCAACUAACUAUAACUUGAGUGGCAACAAUUUAGAAGUAAUUCUUCCAGCCUCCACAAACAGCUAUACGUUCCAAAACUUGACAUCUGGAACUAAUUACACAAUUAUUGUCUACAGUAUCGUAUUUGAUCCGUACAACCAAAGCUACAUCACAGGAAACGCAGUAUCCAUUAACGCACAUACAAGGCCAAAUCUUCCUCACAGUCUUAAGGUCACAAUAUUGAACACCACCUACGCCAUUUUAGAAUGGAUGAAACCAGACAAUGCAGAAAAUGCUUUAAAUGAAUUUGUAGUAAACUAUACAAAUGUAUACUGGAAUGUCUCUAAAACUUUUACAACAAAUAACACUUCAGCUCCAUUAAGUUCUCUUUAUUCAGGAGCAAUUUAUACAGUUUAUGUGAGGACUAAAGCACAAGAUGAAUACAGUGAUCCAAUCAGCAUUAACUUCACAACUGAAAUGAAUGAAAAAGUUGUCAUAUUUGCUCUUCGUUGUACUUCCAAUACACUAAACGGAUGUGAUGGAGGGGAUGCCAUAAAUGCAGCUAACUCUUCGCUGCAGUCUUACUUUGAUUCCCGAUUUAAAGGAUUGAAUUUUACCUUGAGUUCUUUCAAUGGAUAAAUUAAGAUACAGCAUCUUAAGGAGUAAACAGAAGAAACUACAAGCUUUACUGUGAACUUUACCAAUAAUGUCGGUCAUUAUGGGUGCAGCGUCAGAUGCUUUGUCAUUCUAAAGGAUGUCUCAGUCGCAGCUCUGUUUGUAUCUUUAAUGGAAACCUUUUUAAUUUUCUGCUUCUAUUUCAGGACUUCGUUUGCAGAUUUAGAAUGCUGACACAGAAUAACAUGUCAGUUUUUUUAAAAUGUAUCAUAACUGUGUGUAUAUUUCAAGUUUUUUUUUUGGAAGUGAAAUGUAAAAGUGUGCUGGGACAAGUUUAAGAAAUGUGCUAACAGAAUUACUUUUUGUUAUGCUGACAUUUAUGCUCUGCCUCAAUGCUGUUCUUGCCUGCUUUUUCUGAACCUGACAAACCCAAGUUGUGCAACUUCAUGCGCCAAGAACCCUUCCCGGCUUAGACACCAGCAGCAGCGGUCACAACCUCCGGCUCUCACCACAGCUGUCUCCAUUGGCGUCUGCCAUGACACUCUGAGUCGUUUUCCACUUUCAUAAAUUCAGCUGGGACAAUCCACCCCUGGAGCACCAAUCACUUGAUCCUCCAUGGGGCUCCCGACAGCUCUGCCUUUUCUCCCUCACGCUGGCGCGGGCACCUGAUUCCUCAUUCUCACUCACGGUUCUUUUUUUUUCCUCUUGUUCUGAUCCUUUGUUCCUCCCAUUUCUGCUGUGCAGGCUGCUUUUAUACGGCUGAUUGGGUGCAAGUGUGAUACGCUGCCACCUCUGAGGCACCUGACUGAUCUACUUACAUUCACAUGUGAGUGUGCGAUCGGCCAAGCACCCCAGUCACCCCUGGAGUGAUGCGUGCUGAACAAUACAACGAAAUUUAAAACAGCUCGUCCAA
Long non-coding RNA from Erpetoichthys calabaricus (reedfish), 1587 nucleotides. RefSeq lists it as uncharacterized. The record is from RefSeq and is a predicted model, not a curated record. NCBI's taxonomy places the organism in Eukaryota, Metazoa, Chordata, Cladistia, Polypteriformes, Polypteridae. The transcript is spliced from 4 exons.